RNAcentral lists this ribosomal RNA (630 nucleotides) under Ochrolechia subplicans subsp. hultenii. RNAcentral's name for it is "partial small subunit ribosomal RNA". It matches the Rfam family "Bacterial small subunit ribosomal RNA", at positions 547 to 1057 of the family's 1533-position model. Lineage: Eukaryota; Fungi; Ascomycota; Lecanoromycetes; Pertusariales; Ochrolechiaceae. The record is from RNAcentral.
CUUUAGUAGGUUUAAAGGGUACCUAGACGGUUAUUUCAGCCCCCAAAGGGUACUGUUUAGACUAGAGUUUUAUGAGAGGGGGGGUGUACUAAUGGUGUAGAGAUGAAAUUCUGUCAUACCAUUAAGACAGGCAACAGCGAAGGCAACCCUUUAUGUGUAAACUGACGUUGAAGGACGAAGGCUUGGUCCACCAAUAGGAUUAGAUACCCUAGCAGCCUAASCAGACAAUGAUGAAUGCCAUANACUAAAAAAUAUGUACUGACAAAUUUGUGUUUGCGUUUGCAACCAGUCAGUCGUUCGAUGAUGGUAGCAAUAAAAAGAAAGAAAAAAGAUUAAAAUAAUUUAUUUUUUUUAUUUUUUAUUAUUGCUAUNNAGGUUAUAUAUUACUCGUAAGAGUGUAAUAAUAAUCUUUAAAUUAUACGAAUUCUAUUGUGUAUGUUUUUUUUUGUCUAUAAAUGAAAGUGUAAGCAUUCCACCUCAAGAGUAACGUGGCAACGCGGAAACUGAAAUCAUUANACCGUUUCUGAAACCAGUAGUGAANUAUGUUGUUUAAUUAGAUGAUCCGCAAAACMCCUUACCACAAUUUUGUAUGGUUUAGAGAUAAGUACMAGAGUUGCACGGCUGUCUUCA